ACGGGUGCGGAACACGUACGCAACCUUCCUUCAAGCGGGGCAUAGCUUUCGGAAACGAAAAUUAAUACCCCAUAGCAAUGUCUGAUGGCAUCUGAGGACAUUUAAAGAUUUAUCACUUGAAGAUGGGCGUGCGCCUGAUUAGGUAGUUGGCGGGGUAAUGGCCCACCAAGCCUACGAUCAGUAACUGGUGUGAGAGCACGACCAGUCACACGGGCACUGAGACACGGGCCCGACUCCUACGGGAGGCAGCAGUAAGGAAUAUUGGUCAAUGGACGCAAGUCUGAACCAGCCAUGCCGCGUGGAGGAUGAAGGUCCUCUGGAUUGUAAACUUCUUUUAUCGGCGAAGAAACCCACGAAUUCAUUUGUGGUUGACGGUACCCGAUGAAUAAGCACCGGCUAACUCCGUGCCAGCAGCCGCGGUAAUACGGAGGGUGCAAGCGUUAUCCGGAUUCACUGGGUUUAAAGGGAGCGUAUGUGGGCUGGUAAGUCAGUGGUGAAAUCUCCCGGGCUUAACUCGGAAACUGCCGUUGAUACUAUCAGUCUUGAAUGUUGUGGAGGUAAGCGGAAUAUGUCA
This 574-nucleotide ribosomal RNA is filed under the name uncultured bacterium. RNAcentral's name for it is "bacterial SSU rRNA". It matches the Rfam family "Bacterial small subunit ribosomal RNA", at positions 102 to 673 of the family's 1533-position model. The record is from RNAcentral.